Molecule: long non-coding RNA, 223 nt
Organism: Austrofundulus limnaeus
Lineage: Eukaryota; Metazoa; Chordata; Actinopteri; Cyprinodontiformes; Rivulidae
Exons: 2
Source: RefSeq, a predicted model, not a curated record
CCAACUGCUUGCUGUCUUAAAGAGAUACACACAAUAAUUUUGGGAAUUUUCAACAGUAGUAAUGUCAUGUUUAUCUUUCAGGAUGCUCCCACCAGUCUCUGUGCGAACUAAAUAUGCUUUGGGCAUAAUCUCUCUAUUUCCCAGCCUCAGAGAUCCAUACUCAAACAAUGGAUAUGAACACUUCUAUGACCAACAGAGUGGAUCUGGCUAUUUAUCCUGGAGA